ACACGACUACAUUACGAUACCCCGGUAGUCCUAGCCGUAAACGAUACUCGCUAGGUGUCGGCCACGGUGCGACCGUUGUCGGUGCCGUAGGGAAGCCGUGAAGCGAGCCACCUGGGAAGUACGGCCGCAAGGCUGAAACUUAAAGGAAUUGGCGGGGGAGCACAACAACGGGUGGAGCUUGCGGUUUAAUUGGAUUCAACGCCGGAAAUCUUACCGGGACCGACAGCAACAUGAAGGCCAAGCUGAAGACUUUGCCGGAUUAGCUG
This 266-nucleotide ribosomal RNA is filed under the name uncultured archaeon. RNAcentral's name for it is "partial 16S ribosomal RNA". It matches the Rfam family "Archaeal small subunit ribosomal RNA", at positions 717 to 982 of the family's 1478-position model. The record is from RNAcentral.